UCAUUUAUGGAGGCUUCAAUGUGGUCCGAUGGACACAAGUGCCUAAGGAAGGAAGUUGCUAGAGCCAGCUAUGUUAUGAGAUGAGAAGUCAGAUAUCAACUUGUCCAGAUGUUGGCUAUUGCAUAGAUUGGAGCCAGUUGGAACUGGAGUCUGAGACCGAAGUCAGGAUUAGCCGGACUUCGGUGUUCUGCUUAAAAUGAUCGCCAGGAAUCAAGGAUCGUCAGGGACCGAAGCUAGGAUCGAGAGAUCCCAGGUUAUGUACUAGAUGACUUCAUACGACCCUGCCAA
This 288-nucleotide long non-coding RNA is filed under the name Elaeis guineensis (African oil palm). RNAcentral describes it as "long non-coding RNA (EGUI_LNC049430)". Lineage: Eukaryota; Viridiplantae; Streptophyta; Magnoliopsida; Arecales; Arecaceae. The record is from RNAcentral.